CAGUUGUGUGUUAUCUCUACAGGUUUCCCUCAGAUCCUUAACCUCCACUGAUAUCCUGUGAAUGAGCCUCAAUCUCUCAGGUUCCUUUAAUCGAAAGCCUCAAUCUGUGUAAAUUUUUUCUGAGCGUGUGCAUCACAUUAGCAUGAUUUAAUGAUUACGGUGAUGUUAUCAGCUUUAAAUGUGUAGACACUGGAUUAGAUAACGUGUAGCGGCAGUAAGCCUGGGCGUGGUGUUGGGGAAAACUAAAUGGAAAGUAUGAAUGUAAACAGCAAGUGAGUGAGUGACAGAGAGAGAGAGAGAGAUUGCAAGAAUGUGAGUUUAAGUUUAAGAGGACUUUAAGUUUUAAAGACUUUAAUCACUACACUACACAUACCUCAUUAUUAAACUCAGCUCAUUGCAAAGUUUAAGCCUUAAAGCAAGAUAUCCCAGAAUCCCAGAAUUAGGAUCAGAAAAACUGGGCUAAAAACCAAACAGCCAGGAUUUUUAGAUCAUUGUGGACAGAAACACCUUAAAAUAUUGGCAACACUUCAAUCAAGUCGAAGCACGUUCAAUAAAAUAUGAAGGUCUUCUGGAUAAAUAAGUGAAAUGACAUUAAAAUCUCACCAUCUCAUCAGUUUAAGCAUUAAAUAUAUUCAGGUAAAAAAGUUCUGUUUUUCAGAAUAAAGUGACUCUGAGCUGGAAUGGAGCGCAGGCUGUGUAGGCAGAUGUUAUAGGUAAUUAAAAAAAUGAAACACACUCUCGUGUUUUACUGGCAUGACGAUAAAAUCACAUGAAUAAGAUGUGAGAGGGAGAAGGGACAGAGGGAGGAGGUGACAUGUGCCAGUAAAAGCGAGAGAAGUGAAACAGGGAAGUGGAAAAGUGGAAAAAGUAUUUGCUAAAGACAAAAGACUACGAAUGGAAAGAAAGGUGAAAAGAUAAACGGACCUGUAAGCAGGUCAGGAUCACGGAACCUGAAGGGAAUAUUGGAGACAUGAAGGCGUUUGGGUUGGGCUUUCCCAGACCCCUCCUCCUCGCUGCCGCUUCCUGCUCCGCCCCCUGUCGCCACGGGGACGUUCAGGGACUGGGGGUCGGAGGUCACGGGGGCCAGACCUUCAUCCUGAGCGACGGACAACGCGACAGAGAGAGAGAAGAUUAAAGUAAAGACUGUGGAGUGGUGUAAAGGUACACUAGGCAGAAUAUUCUUUUACAAAAAGCCAUGUCCCAAACAGUAGCUAAGCAAGUGCAAUGCUAACUAGUCAUUAAUACGAGAGCCAAAAUGGCGGCUGUUGGAGUUACAGCUACACUGAGUGCUAGCAUUUGGGGUGGAGCCUAAAUAUAACAAGUCAUGUGACCAGUAGUAAGCCAGUCAUAUGCAGUAUAGCACUUAGCGUACUUUUUUAUAAAUUCAGUUCAUUUCAGAAAUUUACAGCACGCUGUCAUUUUCAUGGAGGAUCAAAACAAAACAAAAUGAAUGUAAAAUAAAGAGGAAAUAAAGUGAACACAGAAGCAUAUGAGCAUUCUCCAUCCAGUGACAGAGCGCCACCCAGUGGGGGUUAAUCCACAGCUCUCUGAUCACAUGAUCACACAUGCCCGUUAGACACACUACUCAACUAUACACCACAGAGAGAGAGAAAGAGAGAGAGACAGAGAGACUGAGAUAGAGAGAGAGAGAGAGAGAGAGACAGAGAGAAAGAGAGAGACAGAGAGAAAGAGAGAGAGAGGGAGAGAGAGACAGACAGACACAGAGAAUGAGACUGAGAGAGAGGGAGAGAGAGAGAGAGAGACAGAGAGAAAGAGAGAGAGAGGGAGAAAGAGAGACAGACAGACACAGAGAAUGAGACUGAGAGAGAGGGAGAGAGAGAAAAAGAGGGAGAGAGAGAGAAUGAGACAGAGAGAGACACAGAGAGAGAAAGAGAGAGAGACAGACAGACAGAGUGAGACUGAGAUAGAGAGAGAUACAGGGAGAGAGAGAGAGACAGAGAGAAAGAGAGAGAGACUGACAGACAGAGAGAGAAUGAGACUGAGAGAAAGAGAAAGAGAGAGGGAGAGGGAGAAAAAGAGGGAGAGAGAGAGAAUGAGACUGAGAGACAGAUAGAGAGUGAGACUGAGAUAGAGAGAGAGAUAGAGAGAAGGAGAGAGAGAGAUAGAGAGAGACAGAUCAGUAUGACGAACUGUACAUGUUAAAAAAUCUCAGUAUCAUCAAUAAGAUGAAUAAUCAGCCGUUCCUGAUGCACUUACACGGAACAACAUAUUAACCACGUCAUAUGACAUCAUCACUUUGUAUUGCAUCAUCACAUGUCUGAUUACAUCAUCAGUGUGGAUAAAAGACCCCAUGCAGUUCAGCACUACAGCUAACAGUGCGUCACACCCACAUCCACUACCCACAAUGCACCACGAUGCCACUGUGUGUGUGUGUGUGUUUGUGUGUGUGUGUGUGUGCGUGUGUGUGAGCCUGUCUCACCAAAAUGCCAUUACACUGUUACGCUGUUAUCAUCAUCAUCAUCAUCAUCAAGACGUUUGUGUUACUGACAGCAGAUUAAAGAUAAAAACUGCUGGAGCAAAAAAAAGAGGAAAAUAAAAAUGAAGGGAUAAAGACUGAAAAAUAAAGCACAGGGGCCCAGAAAAGCAGGGAAUAACAGAUUAGCUGCAGCUGUGGAGAAAAGGAGAGAGAGGGAAAGAAAGAAAGAAAGAAAGAAAGAAAGAAAGAAAGAACGCACUGGGUCGUAUUCAGAGUCAACAGCUUCAGGUCUAAAUUUACAGGUUAGAUUUACAUGACUGAAGCUCCAUCUCUCCUCCCUCACUCUCCACCUCUCCUCCCUCACUCUCCACCUCUCCUCGCUCGCUCCAUCUCUCCUCGCUCGCUCCAUCUCUCCUCCCUCACUCUCCACCUCUCCUCCCUCACUCUCCACCUCUCCUCACUCGCUCUCCAUCUCUCCUCGCUCGCUCCACCUCUCCACCUCUCCUGAGAGACCUGCCUCCUCCACAAGCACAGGAAAUGACCUCGCUUUAUAGUGUAGUAGUAACAAGGUCUUCUCUGGGACCUCAGAGAGCUUUCACAGGAGAAUCAGGUCUCACAGAUGAGUUCUACACCCAGACCCUUCAUUCUGACCCGUUUUAGACAAACCCCGCCCUUGCAUAAGAGAGAUACACCCCUGUUUUAUAUAAACCCCGCCCCUGCUUAACUGAGACACACACCCGUUUUAGACAAACUCCGCCCCCACACAACUGAGACACGCCCCUGUCCCCACGUGCGUGACUCUCACAAAACUUCUGAAUAGCGCUUAAGUCUGUAGUUACAACUGAGUUCUGAAUCCUGAUGUCUGGAAUUUCAGUAUUAAAUCCUCACUGAGCGCUGAACUGAAAUCUGAACACGGCACACAGAGAGAGAGAGAGAGAGAGAGAGAGAGAGAGAGAGAGAGAGUAAUGAAGGAAAGGGAGUGAGAGGAUAGAGAAAGAAAACAAUGGGAAAGACAGUGACAGAGAAAGAAAGAAAGAAAGAAAGAAAGAA
Pangasianodon hypophthalmus (striped catfish) is the source of this 3487-nucleotide long non-coding RNA. RefSeq lists it as uncharacterized. The transcript has 2 exons. NCBI's taxonomy places the organism in Eukaryota, Metazoa, Chordata, Actinopteri, Siluriformes, Pangasiidae. The record is from RefSeq and is a predicted model, not a curated record.